GAGUGAUGAAGGUUUUCGGAUCGUAAAACUCUGUUGUUAGGGAAGAACAAGUACCGUUCGAAUAGGGCGGUACCUUGACGGUACCUAACCAGAAAGCCACGGCUAACUACGUGCCAGCAGCCGCGGUAAUACGUAGGUGGCAAGCGUUGUCCGGAAUUAUUGGGCGUAAAGCGCGCGCAGGCGGUUUCUUAAGUCUGAUGUGAAAGCCCCCGGCUCAACCGGGGAGGGUCAUUGGAAACUGGGGAACUUGAGUGCAGAAGAGGAGAGUGGAAUUCCACGUGUAGCGGUGAAAUGCGUAGAGAUGUGGAGGAACACCAGUGGCGAAGGCGACUCUCUGGUCUGUAACUGACGCUGAGGCGCGAAAGCGUGGGGAGCGAACAGGAUUAGAUACCCUGGUAGUCCACGCCGUAAACGAUGAGUGCUAAGUGUUAGAGGGUUUCCGCCCUUUAGUGCUGCAGCAAACGCAUUAAGCACUCCGCCUGGGGAGUACGGUCGCAAGACUGAAACUCAAAGGAAUUGACGGGGGCCCGCACAAGCGGUGGAGCAUGUGGUUUAAUUCGAAGCAACGCGAAGAACCUUACCAGGUCUUGACAUCCUCUGACAACCCUAGAGAUAGGGCUUCCCCUUC
RNAcentral lists this ribosomal RNA (628 nucleotides) under Bacillus licheniformis. RNAcentral's name for it is "bacterial SSU rRNA". It matches the Rfam family "Bacterial small subunit ribosomal RNA", at positions 401 to 1021 of the family's 1533-position model. The record is from RNAcentral. Lineage: Bacteria; Bacillati; Bacillota; Bacilli; Caryophanales; Bacillaceae.